Molecule: non-coding RNA, 147 nt
Organism: Nomascus leucogenys (northern white-cheeked gibbon)
Lineage: Eukaryota; Metazoa; Chordata; Mammalia; Primates; Hylobatidae
Rfam family: Metazoan signal recognition particle RNA
About the family: The signal recognition particle (SRP) is a universally conserved ribonucleoprotein. It is involved in the co-translational targeting of proteins to membranes.
Source: Rfam
GCCGGGCGUGGUGGUGCGUGCCUAUAAUCCCAGCUACAUGGAGGCUGAGGCAGAAGAAUGGCUUGAACCCAGGAGGCAGCGGUGACAGUGAGCUGAGAUUGCACCACUGCACUCCAGCCUGGGUGACAGGGCAAGACUCUGUCUCAA